UACAGAGGGGGCAAGCGUUAUUCGGAAUUAUUGGGCGUAAAGGGCGCGUAGGCGGCCUGGCAAGUGGAAGGUGAAAUCCCUCGGCUUAACCGAGGAACUGCCUCCCAAACUGCUUGGCUUGAGACCGGGAGAGGUGAGUGGAAUUCCCAGUGUAGCGGUGAAAUGCGUAGAUAUCAGGAGGAACACCUAUGGCGAAGGCAGCUCGCUGGGACGGUAUUGACGCUGAGGAGCGAAAGCGUGGGGAGCAAACAGG
This 253-nucleotide ribosomal RNA is filed under the name uncultured bacterium. RNAcentral's name for it is "partial 16S ribosomal RNA". It matches the Rfam family "Bacterial small subunit ribosomal RNA", at positions 524 to 776 of the family's 1533-position model. The record is from RNAcentral.